GAGCCUUGGCUCAGUGGCAGAGCACCUGCUCGGCAUGCAGAAGGUUCCAUGCACCAAGUUUAAUCCCUGGCAGCAUCU
Molecule: non-coding RNA, 78 nt
Organism: Podarcis lilfordi (Lilford's wall lizard)
Lineage: Eukaryota; Metazoa; Chordata; Lepidosauria; Squamata; Lacertidae
Source: the annotation of a GenBank genome assembly